This 331-nucleotide ribosomal RNA is filed under the name uncultured eukaryote. RNAcentral's name for it is "partial 18S ribosomal RNA". It matches the Rfam family "Eukaryotic small subunit ribosomal RNA", at positions 1470 to 1796 of the family's 1831-position model. The record is from RNAcentral.
CCCUUAGAUGUCCGGGGCUGCACGCGCGCUACACUGAAUGAAUCAGCGUGCUAGAAAACCUUGUUUGACAUGGCUAGGUAACCCAUUGAAAAUCAUUCGUGAUUGGGAUCGGGACUUGCAAAUGUGUCCCUUGAACGAGGAAUUCCCAGUAAGUGCGGGUCAUCAGCUCGCGUUGAUUACGUCCCUGCCCUUUGUACACACCGCCCGUCGCUGCCCGGAACUGAGCCGUUUCGAGAAAGCCGGGGACCGACGACUUGUGGGUGCGCAAGCACUUCUAGUCGAUGGAAACCAGUUUAAUCGGUAUGGCUUGAACCGGGCAAAAGUCGUAACA